This 1080-nucleotide ribosomal RNA is filed under the name uncultured bacterium. RNAcentral's name for it is "bacterial SSU rRNA". It matches the Rfam family "Bacterial small subunit ribosomal RNA", at positions 11 to 1127 of the family's 1533-position model. The record is from RNAcentral.
GUUUGAUCCUGGCUCAGAAUCAGCGCUGGCGGCGUGCCUAACACAUGCAAGUCGAACGAGAAAGUGGAGCAAUCCAUGAGUAAAGUGGCGCACGGGUGAGUAACACGUGACUAACCUACCCUUGAGUGGGGAAUAACCUAGGGAAACCUGGGCUAAUACCGCAUAACACCUACGGGUCAAAGGAGCAAUUCGCUUAAGGAGGGGGUCGCGGCAGAUUAGCUAGUUGGCGGGGUAAUGGCCCACCAAGGCAGUGAUCUGUAUCCGGCCUGAGAGGGCGCACGGACACACUGGAACUGAAACACGGUCCAGACUCCUACGGGAGGCAGCAGUGGGGAAUUUUGCGCAAUGGGGGAAACCCUGACGCAGCAACGCCGCGUGGAGGAUGAAGUCCCUUGGGACGUAAACUCCUUUCGACCGGGAAGAUUAUGACGGUACCGGAAGAAGAAGCCCCGGCUAACUUCGUGCCAGCAGCCGCGGUAAUACGAGGGGGGCAAGCGUUGUUCGGAAUUAUUGGGCGUAAAGGGUGCGUAGGCGGUUCGGCAAGUCUUGUGUGAAAUCUUCGGGCUCAACUCGAAGUCUGCACGAGAAACUGCCGGGCUUGAGUGUGGGAGAGGUGAGUGGAAUUUCCGGUGUAGCGGUGAAAUGCGUAGAUAUCGGAAGGAACACCUGUGGCGAAAGCGGCUCACUGGACCACAACUGACGCUGAGGCACGAAAGCUAGGGGAGCAAACAGGAUUAGAUACCCUGGUAGUCCUAGCCCUAAACGAUGAUCGCUUGGUGUGACGGGUACCCAAUCCCGCCGUGCCGAAGCUAACGCGUUAAGCGAUCCGCCUGGGGAGUACGGUCGCAAGGCUGAAACUCAAAGGAAUUGACGGGGGCCCGCACAAGCGGUGGAGCAUGUGGUUUAAUUCGACGCAACGCGAAGAACCUUACCUGGGCUCGAAUGUACAGGAAUCCGGUGGAAACAUCGGCGCCCGCAAGGGUCUGUAUAUAGUGCUGCAUGCUGUCGUCAGCUCGUGUCGUGAGAUGUUGGGUUAAGUCCCGCAACGAGCGCACCCUUAUUAACAGUUGCUACCAUUUA